CUACACAAGUUUUGUCGGUGGCAUAUCAUGAAGAAGUACAAAGACCACCUCACCUUGUAGUAUAAGGCGCACGAGAAACUCAAGGAUGACCUCAAUGCUGUGCUGAACCACCCACUAAUGCCAUCAGAAUUUGAACGUGCAUGGAAGGACCUCAUUCAGAAAUACAACUUGAAAAACGACGAAGUGAUGAAUUCGCUGUGGGAUGACAGGCACGAGUGGAUCUCGGCUUACUACAAGGAAAUUUUCUGUGCUCGGAUGACUUCCACAUAGAGAAGCGAGAGCAUGAACCGCAUACUGAAGAAAAGCUUUGUCAAAGAGAAGCAUGAUCUCCAUCUCUUUGCUCAGCAGGUGGACAAGUGCAUUCAGACCAGGAAGGUCGUCGAGCACGCAGAGAUAGUAGCAAAUGAGUCAGAGGUAAAGACAACAACCCAGUUUGGGUUCGAAGUUCAGCUAUCAAAAGUUUAUACAAGGGCAGUGUUUGCAGAUUUCAAAGAAACACUCUACCGUAGCACUGCAUUCAAAGCAGAACGGUGCCCUGAGAACCCGACAAAGUAUCUCGUACACCACUACAAUAGAUCAAAUGCAUUUGACUGGGCAAGGCAUAAUUUCCAAGUGGUCACCGAUGAAUAGAAAGGUGUCUACGAAUGUGAGUGCAAACUCUGGACACACACAGGGCUCUUUUGCGUCCAUGUGUUAUGCAUGCUUUCUCAUUUGAUAGUACUCAAGAUUCCUGAGGUGUACAUCAUGAAGAGAUACAACCAGAACGCAAGAUCAAAUGCAAUGUUUGAUAGAAGAGACUACGAACAAAUAGCAUCAGAUGGAAGCUCGCUUUUUUGCCAUAGAAAAUUACUGACCGAAACAACAAUGGACCUUGCAAACAGA
RNAcentral lists this ribosomal RNA (882 nucleotides) under Triticum aestivum (bread wheat). Its description in RNAcentral is "partial small subunit ribosomal RNA". The record is from RNAcentral. Lineage: Eukaryota; Viridiplantae; Streptophyta; Magnoliopsida; Poales; Poaceae.